Molecule: long non-coding RNA, 835 nt
Filed under: Medicago truncatula (barrel medic)
Lineage: Eukaryota; Viridiplantae; Streptophyta; Magnoliopsida; Fabales; Fabaceae
Description: long non-coding RNA (MTRU_LNC004499)
Source: RNAcentral
UUUUCAGUUAUGGAGUCUUGGUGUUGGAAAUAGUUAGCGGGAGAAAAAACCAUGAUCUGAAGCUUGAUGCAGAAAAGGCAGAUCUUCUAAGCUAUGUAAGUUGUUCUCAUGGAAGGCAUGAAAGAAAAUUUAGUAUGUGCUAAUUAUUCUCAUCAACUGAGAUUCUUGUAAUAAAUUAAUGAUAAGCUGCUGCAAAAUGUAUAUUUUCUAAACAUAGAUAAAUUCCACCGUACUUGAAAAUAGUUCGAAACUUUAACGACAACAGUUGUCACAUUAAGGAAGCAGAAGUUCUCGACCCUCUUUGUGCUCACGGCUGAAACACUAACUUAAUCAGCACAUGUUACACAAAAAUAAACAAAUAUGUAUGCAUCAAAAUUCAACUCAUUAAUUUUUUCGUUGAUUUUGUUCAGUGCACACCAAUCAAGUUAUUGUCUCAGUCGUAAGAAAGAAGAGAACCGUAAGUUUCUACUUCCGAGGGGGCGCCGUUGAUCGUUGUUAAGUUUUAGACUGUUUUCAAGUACUGAUCCUCUGUGGACCACCUAACUAGGCGAUCCAGCAUACCAUACAACCCGCCUCUAAAUAUAUGCUUAGGAUUAAUAAAACAAGUACGUUCUGUGUCCAAAUCAUGAUGCUAUUUCUUGAUGAACAUGGUACACGUUUUGCAUUGACAUGUAUCGGACACCAAACAACAAAACCAGCAUUAUACAUGUGUAUGUUAGAUCCCUAUUUGUUGACUUAUAUGGUCAAAGGGAAUUUACAUGAAACUUCUUACCAUAUUAUGACAAUUUCUUUCACAUUUUUACAAUGUUUCUUUUUUCAUAACUUAUUUGUAGGC